UGCAAGUCGAGGGGUAACGGAAGUAGCUUGCUACUAGACGACGACCGGCGCACGGGUGAGUAACGCGUAUGUAAUCUGCCUUGUACAGAGGGAUAGCCCAGAGAAAUUUGGAUUAAUACCUCAUAGUAUUACUGGAUCGCAUGAUUUGGUAAUUAAAGCUCCGGCGGUACAAGAUGAACAUGCGUGACAUUAGCUAGUUGGUAAGGUAACGGCUUACCAAGGCUACGAUGUCUAGGGGUUCUGAGAGGAUGAUCCCCCACACUGGUACUGAGACACGGACCAGACUCCUACGGGAGGCAGCAGUGAGGAAUAUUGGUCAAUGGACGCAAGUCUGAACCAGCCAUCCCGCGUGAAGGAUGACUGCCCUAUGGGUUGUAAACUUCUUUUAUAUGCAAAUAAACCUACUUUCGUGAAAGUAGCUGAAGGUAGCAUAUGAAUAAACACCGGCUAACUCCGUGCCAGCAGCCGCGGUAAUACGGAGGGUGUAAGCGUUAUCCGGAUUUAUUGGGUUUAAAGGGUACGUAGGCGGUAAUAUAAGUCAGUGGUGAAAUC
This 552-nucleotide ribosomal RNA is filed under the name uncultured bacterium. RNAcentral's name for it is "bacterial SSU rRNA". It matches the Rfam family "Bacterial small subunit ribosomal RNA", at positions 56 to 601 of the family's 1533-position model. The record is from RNAcentral.